GAGUGCGGGUGCUAUACAUGCAAGUCGAGCGGACAGAAGGGAGCUUGCUCCCGGAUGUUAGCGGCGGACGGGUGAGUAACACGUGGGUAACCUGCCUGUAAGACUGGGAUAACUCCGGGAAACCGGAGCUAAUACCGGAUAGUUCCUUGAACCGCAUGGUUCAAGGAUGAAAGACGGUUUCGGCUGUCACUUACAGAUGGACCCGCGGCGCAUUAGCUAGUUGGUGAGGUAACGGCUCACCAAGGCGACGAUGCGUAGCCGACCUGAGAGGGUGAUCGGCCACACUGGGACUGAGACACGGCCCAGACUCCUACGGGAGGCAGCAGUAGGGAAUCUUCCGCAAUGGACGAAAGUCUGACGGAGCAACGCCGCGUGAGUGAUGAAGGUUUUCGGAUCGUAAAGCUCUGUUGUUAGGGAAGAACAAGUGCAAGAGUAACUGCUUGCACCAUGACGGUACCUAACCAGAAAGCCACGGCUAACUACGUGCCAGCAGCCGCGGUAAUACGUAGGUGGCAAGCGUUGUCCGGAAUUAUUGGGCGUAAAGGGCUCGCAGGCGGUUUCUUAAGUCUGAUGUGAAAGCCCCCGGCUCAACCGGGGAGGGUCAUUGGAAACUGGGAAACUUGAGUGCAGAAGAGGAGAGUGGAAUUCCACGUGUAGCGGUGAAAUGCGUAGAGAUGUGGAGGAACACCAGUGGCGAAGGCGACUCUCUGGUCUGUAACUGACGCUGAGGAGCGAAAGCGUGGGGAGCGAACAGGAUUAGAUACCCUGGUAGUCCACGCCGUAAACGAUGAGUGCUAAGUGUUAGGGGGUUUCCGCCCCUUAGUGCUGCAGCUAACGCAUUAAGCACUCCGCCUGGGGAGUACGGUCGCAAGACUGAAACUCAAAGGAAUUGACGGGGGCCCGCACAAGCGGUGGAGCAUGUGGUUUAAUUCGAAGCAACGCGAAGAACCCUUACCAGGUCUUGACAUCCUCUGACACCCUAGAGAUAGGCUUUCCCUUCGGGACAGAGUGACAGUGUGCAUGGAUGUCGUCAGCUCGUGUCGUGAGAUGUUGGGUUAAGU
Molecule: ribosomal RNA, 1061 nt
Filed under: Bacillus safensis
Lineage: Bacteria; Bacillati; Bacillota; Bacilli; Caryophanales; Bacillaceae
Description: bacterial SSU rRNA
Rfam family: Bacterial small subunit ribosomal RNA
Source: RNAcentral